AGCCGCCGCGGUAAUACCGGCGGCUCGAGUGGUGGCCACUUUAUUGGGCUUAAAGCGUUCGUAGCUGGGUUGUUAAGUCUCUUGGGAAAUCUGGCAGCUUAACUGUCAGGCGUCUAAGGGGUACUGGCAAUCUUGGGACCGGGAGAGGUGAGGGGUACUUCGGGGGUAGGAGUGAAAUCCUGUAAUCCUCGAGGGACCACCUGUGGCGAAGGCGCCUCACCAGAACGGCUUCGACAGUGAGGGACGAAAGCUGGGGGAGCAAACCGGAUUAGAUACCCGGGUAGUCCCAGCCGUAAACGAUGUGCGUUAGGUGUAUCGACGACCACGAGUCGUCGAGGUGCCGAAGGGAAACCGUGAAACGUACCGCCUGGGAAGUACGGUCGCAAGGCUGAAACUUAAAGGAAUUGGCGGGGGAGCACCACAACAGGUGGAGCCUGCGGUUUUAAAUUGGACUCAACGCCGGAAAUCUCACCGGAUAAGACAGCUGAAUGAUUGCCGGGCUGAAGACUCUGCAUGACUAGCUGAGAGGAGGUGCAUGG
Molecule: ribosomal RNA, 539 nt
Filed under: uncultured archaeon
Lineage: Archaea
Description: bacterial SSU rRNA
Rfam family: Archaeal small subunit ribosomal RNA
Source: RNAcentral